This 476-nucleotide ribosomal RNA is filed under the name uncultured bacterium. RNAcentral's name for it is "bacterial SSU rRNA". It matches the Rfam family "Bacterial small subunit ribosomal RNA", at positions 335 to 799 of the family's 1533-position model. The record is from RNAcentral.
ACUCCUACGGGAGGCAGCAGUGGGGAAUAUUGCACAAUGGGGGAAACCCUGAUGCAGCCAUGCCGCGUGUGUGAAGAAGGCCUUCGGGUUGUAAAGCACUUUCAGUAGGGAGGAAGGUAGUGUAGUUAACACCUGCAUUAUUUGACGUUACCUACAGAAGAAGCACCGGCUAACUCCGUGCCAGCAGCCGCGGUAAUACGGAGGGUGCGAGCGUUAAUCGGAAUUACUGGGCGUAAAGCGCAUGCAGGCGGCCUGUUAAGUCAGAUGUGAAAGCCCGGGGCUUAACCUCGGAAUUGCAUUUGAAACUGGCAGGCUAGAGUCUUGUAGAGGGGGGUAGAAUUUCAGGUGUAGCGGUGAAAUGCGUAGAGAUCUGAAGGAAUACCAGUGGCGAAGGCGGCCCCCUGGACAAAGGACUGACGCUCAGAUGCGAAAAGCGUGGGGAGCAAAACAGGAUUAGAUACCCUGGUAGCACAGAG